UCAAGGCUGACAGGGAUAAUGCAGAGACCUGGAAGUCAAAUAAAAAGCAGAAGUGACUAACUGGCAGGAGCAGAAGCUGCUCAUUUGGAAAGGAUCUUCCCUGCAAAGCUGAAAUGUGCAAACACAAAUCAAGGGAUAAUUUCAUCCCAAAUGUACCAUUCUUCUUUUGUCUGAACAAGUGACUUAAAAACCAUCUGGAGCCUUGCCAAGCACAGAGAGAAAAAUUUAUUGGCUGUGAUAUCACACUGGAAA
Neopsephotus bourkii (Bourke's parrot) is the source of this 252-nucleotide long non-coding RNA. RefSeq lists it as uncharacterized. The transcript has 3 exons. Lineage: Eukaryota; Metazoa; Chordata; Aves; Psittaciformes; Psittacidae. The record is from RefSeq and is a predicted model, not a curated record.